RNAcentral lists this ribosomal RNA (1441 nucleotides) under uncultured Thermoplasmatales archaeon. RNAcentral describes it as "bacterial SSU rRNA". It matches the Rfam family "Archaeal small subunit ribosomal RNA". The record is from RNAcentral. Lineage: Archaea; Methanobacteriati; Thermoplasmatota; Thermoplasmata; Thermoplasmatales.
UCCGGUUGAUCCUGCCGGAGGUUACUGCUAUUGGAAUCCGAUUAAGCCAUGCGAGUCGAUCGGGUUUAGACCCGAGGCACACUGCUCAGUAACACGUGGAGAAUCUGCCCUUAGGUGAGAGAUAACCUCGGGAAACUGAGAAUAAUAUCUCAUAGGUUAUGAAUGCUGGAACGCUUCAUAGCUAAAAGCCCUGGCGCCUAAGGAUGACUCUGCGGACUAUCAGGUAGUAGUCAGGGUAAUAACCUGACUAGCCUACGACGGAUACGGGGUGUGAGAGCACUAGCCCGGAGAUGGAUUCUGAGACACGAAUCCAGACCCUAAGGGGUGCAGCAGGCGCGAAACUUCCGCAAUGCUCGCAAGAGUGACGGAGGGAUUCCAAGUGCCUAUGCAAUGCGUAGGCUGUUCUCAUGUCUAAAUAACAUGGGGAGUAAGAGCUGGGUAAGACGGGUGCCAGCCGCCGCGGUAAUACCUGCGGCUCGAGUGGUAACCACUAUUAUUGGGCCUAAAGCGUCCGUAGCCGGUUUAGUAAAUAUCUGAGUAAAUCGUGAGGCUUAACUUCACGAAUUUCGGAUAGACUGCUAGACUUGGGACCGGGGGAGGUCAGAGGUACUCCAGGGGUAGCGGUGAAAUGUUGUAAUCCUUGGAGGACCACCGGUAGCGAAGGCGUCUGACUAGAACGGGUCCGACGGUGAGGGACGAAGCCCUGGGGCGCAAACCGGAUUAGAUACCCGGGUAGUCCAGGGUGUAAACGAUGUGGGCUUUGUAUUGGAGGUCCUACGUGGGCUUCCAGUGCAGGAGAGAAGUUGUUAAGCCCACCGCCUGGGAAGUACGGUCGCAAGGCUGAAACUUAAAGGAAUUGGCGGGGGAGCACAGCAACGGGAGGAGCGUGCGGUUUAAUUGGAUUCAACGCCGGAAAGCUCACCGGAGUAGACUGUCAAAUGUGAGCCAGGCUGAAGACCUUGCUCGAAUAAUAGACAGAGAGGUGGUGCAUGGCCGCCGUCAGCUCGUACCGUAAGGCGUUCUGUUAAGUCAGAUAACGAGCGAGACCCCCGUCCUUAGUUGCUACUUUGAAAUCCGUUUCAAAGGCACACUAAGGAGACCGCUGGCGAUAAGUCAGAGGAAGGAGGGGGCAACGGUAGGUCAGUAUGCCCUGAAUGUUCCGGGCUACACGCGCGCUACAAAGGCUGGGACAAUGGGCCGCAACCCCGAAAGGGGAAGCCAAUCUCGAAACCCAGUCGUAGUUCGGAUUGAGGACUGAAACCCGUCCUCAUGAAGCUGGAUUCCGUAGUAAUCGCGGGUCAACAUCCCGCGGUGAAUAUGCCCCUGCUCCUUGCACACACCGCCCGUCAAGCCAUGCGAGUUGAGUCUGAGUGAGGAUGUGUUGUUAUGGCAUGUUCGAACUUGGGUUCUGCGAGCGGGGCUAAGUCGUAACAAGGUAACC